Molecule: non-coding RNA, 29 nt
Filed under: Homo sapiens (human)
Lineage: Eukaryota; Metazoa; Chordata; Mammalia; Primates; Hominidae
Source: RNAcentral
UCUAAGGAUUUCACAUGAAAGGGUUGUGA